This 103-nucleotide transfer RNA is filed under the name Phaeosphaeriaceae sp. SRC1lsM3a. RNAcentral describes it as "Stagonospora sp. SRC1lsM3a tRNA". It matches the Rfam family "tRNA". Rfam says of the family: Transfer RNA (tRNA) molecules are approximately 80 nucleotides in length. Their secondary structure includes four short double-helical elements and three loops (D, anti-codon, and T loops). The record is from Rfam by way of RNAcentral. Lineage: Eukaryota; Fungi; Ascomycota; Dothideomycetes; Pleosporales; Phaeosphaeriaceae.
GCCUGGUUAGCUCAAUCGGUAGAGCGUGAGACUCUUAGGUUUCACUUUCUCAGAAAGCGAUUGAUCCAUCUCAAGGUUGCGGGUUCGACCCCCGCAUCGGGCU